UACAUAGGGGGCAAGCGUUAUCCGGAAUUACUGGGUGUAAAGGGUGCGUAGGUGGUUAUGUAAGUCAGAUGUGAAACCCCGGGGCUCAACCUCGGGAAUGCAUUUGAAACUAUGUAACUAGAGUACAGGAGAGGUAAGUGGAAUUUCUAGUGUAGCGGUAAAAUGCGUAGAUAUUAGGAAGAACACCAGUGGCGAAGGCGACUUACUGGACUGAAACUGACACUGAGGCACGAAAGCGUGGGGAGCAAACAGG
This 253-nucleotide ribosomal RNA is filed under the name uncultured bacterium. RNAcentral describes it as "partial 16S ribosomal RNA". It matches the Rfam family "Bacterial small subunit ribosomal RNA", at positions 524 to 776 of the family's 1533-position model. The record is from RNAcentral.